GACGAACGCUGACGGUGUGCUUUAGACAUGCAAGUCGAACGAGAAAGCCCUUCGGGUGAGUACAGUGGCGAACGGGUGAGUAACACGUGGGCAACCUGCCCCUCGCAGGGGGACAACCGGAGGAAACUCCGGCUAAUACCCCGUAAGCUUGUUGGGUCGCAUGACCCUUCAAGGAAAGGUAGCUUCGGCCCAUCCGGCGAGGGGAUGGGGCCCCGCGGUGCAUUAGCUAGGUUGGUGGGGUAACGGCCCCACCAAGGCGACGAUGUAUAGCUGGUCUGAGAGGAUGAUCAGCCACACUGGGACUGAGACACGG
RNAcentral lists this ribosomal RNA (313 nucleotides) under uncultured bacterium. RNAcentral describes it as "bacterial SSU rRNA". It matches the Rfam family "Bacterial small subunit ribosomal RNA", at positions 28 to 329 of the family's 1533-position model. The record is from RNAcentral.